AGUUUGAUUCUGGCUCAGAUUGAACGCUGGCGGGAUGCUUUACAUGCAAGUCGAACGGCAGCAAUGGACUUCGGUCUGUGGCGAGGCGAACGGGUGAGUAAUGUAUCGGAACGUGCCUAGUAGCGGGGGAUAACUACGCGGAAAGUAGCUAAUACCGCAUACGCCCUUCGGGGGAAAGCGGGGACCUUCGGGCCUGCACAUUAGAGCGGCCGAUAUCGGAUUAGCUAGUUGGUGGGUAACGGCUCACCAUACGACGAUCCGUAGCUGGUUUGAGAGGACGACCAGCCACACUGGGACUGAGACACGGCCCAGACCUCUACGGGAGGGGCAGUGGGAAUUUGGACAAUGGGAAGUCUCCUGAUCCAGCCAUCCCGCGUGUGCGAUGAAGGCCUUCGGUUAAAAAGCACUUUUGGCAGAAAGAAACGGCACGGAUAACACCGUGCAACUGACGGUACCUGCAGAAUAAGCACCGGCUAACUACGCGCCAGCAGCCGCGGUAAUACGUAGGGUGCAAGCGUUAAUCGGAAUUACUGGGCGUAAAGCGUGCGCAGGCGGUUCGAAGAAAGAUGGAAAUCCCAGAGCUUAACUUUGGAACUGCAUUUUUAACUACCGGAGCUGAGUGUGUCGAGGAGGUGGAAUUCCGCGUAGGCAGUGAAAUGCGUAGAUAUGCGGAGGAACACCGAUGGCGAAGGCAGCCUCCUGGGAUAACACUGACGCUCAUGCACGAAAGCGUGGGGAGCAAACAGGAUUAGAUACUCCCGGUAGUCCACGCCCUAAACGAUGUCAACUAGCUGUUGGGGCCUUCGGGCCUUGGUAUGGCAGCUAACGGAAGAAGCUGACCGCCUGGGAGUACGGUCGCAAGAUUAAAACUCAAAGGGAAUUGACGGGGACCUGUACUGGCAAGCAGGGAUGAGAUGUGGAUUAAUUCGAUGCAAUGGCAAACCUUACCUACCCUGACAUGUCUGAAUCCCGAAGAGAUUUGGGAGUGCUCGCAAGAGAACCGGAACACAGGUGCUGCAUGGCUGUCGUCAGCUCGUGUCGUGAGAUGUUGGGUUAAGUCCCGCAACGAGCGCAACCUUUGCCAUUAGUUGCUACGAAAGGCACUCUGACGACUGUUGGCACAAACCGGAGGAAGGUGGGAGAUGACGCUGUCCUGGCCCUUAUGGUAGGGCUUCACACGUCAUACAAUGGUCGGGACAGAUAGUCGCCAACCCAGAGGGGGAGCCAAUCCCAGAAACCCGAUCGUAGUCCGAUCGUAGCCCGUGGGAACGACUGCGUGAAGUCGGAAUCGCUAGUAAUCGCGGAUCAGCAUGUCGCGGUGAAUACGUUCCCGGUCUUGUACACGUCUGCCCAUCACACCAUGGGAGUGGUAUUACCAGAAGUAGUUAGCUCAACUGUAAGGAGGGCGAUUACCGCCACUGGAUCUUAUGACUGGGGUGAAGUCGUAACGGCA
RNAcentral lists this ribosomal RNA (1453 nucleotides) under uncultured Bordetella sp. Its description in RNAcentral is "partial 16S-23S ribosomal RNA intergenic spacer". It matches the Rfam family "Bacterial small subunit ribosomal RNA". Lineage: Bacteria; Pseudomonadati; Pseudomonadota; Betaproteobacteria; Burkholderiales; Alcaligenaceae. The record is from RNAcentral.